RNAcentral lists this ribosomal RNA (1324 nucleotides) under metagenome. RNAcentral's name for it is "bacterial LSU rRNA". It matches the Rfam family "Bacterial large subunit ribosomal RNA", at positions 1561 to 2925 of the family's 2925-position model. The record is from RNAcentral.
AGUGGAUGGGGAGCAACCUAGUUGUGCGUGUGUAAAGGUAGUGCCAAGAAAAGCGGUGAUCAUGAUGAAAAUCAAUUCCCGGUACCCAAAACCGACACAGGUGGGCAAGUAGAGAAUACUAAGGGGCGCGAGGUAACUCUCUCCAAGGAACUCGGCAAAAUGACCCCGUAACUUAGGGAGAAGGGGUGCCACCGAGAGGUGGUCGCAGUGAAGAGGCCCAGGCGACUGUUUAGCAAAAACAUAGGUCUCUGCAAACUCGAAAGAGGAGGUAUAGGGGCUGACUCCUGCCCAGUGCCGGAAGGUUAAAGAAGUUGGUCAGUCUUAGGAUGAAGCUAGCGACUGAAGCCCCGGUGAACGGCGGCCGUAACUAUAACGGUCCUAAGGUAGCGAAAUUCCUUGUCGGGUAAGUUCCGACCCGCACGAAAGGCGUAACGAUCUGGGCGCUGUCUCGGAGAGAGGCUCGGCGAAAUAGGAUUGUCUGUGAAGAUACGGACUACCUGCAUUUGGACAGAAAGACCCUAUGAAGCUUUACUAUAGCUUGGAAUUGUGUUCGGGCUCCUGUGCGCAGCAUAGGUGGGAGGCGAAGAAGGUAUUCUUGUGGGGAUACUGGAGCCAACGGUGAGAUACCACUCUCAGGAGGCUAGAAUUCUAACUUAAUUAAGGACAGUUUCAGGUGGGUAGUUUGACUGGGGCGGUCGCCUCCAAAAAGGUAACGGAGGCGUACAAAGGUUCCCUCAGACUGGUUGGAAAUCAGUCGCAGAGUGCAAAGGCAGAAGGGAGCUUGACUGCGAGAAGUACAGUUCGAGCAGGGUGGAAACACGGUCUUAGUGAUCCGACGGUGCUGUGUGGAAGGGCCGUCGCUCAACGGAUAAAAGUUACUCUAGGAUAACAGGCUGAUCUCCCCCAAGAGUUCACAUCGACGGGGAGGUUUGGCACCUCGAUGUCGGCUCAUCGCAACCUGGGGCGGAAGUACGUCCCAAGGGUUGGGCUGUUCGCCCAUUAAAGCGGUACGUGAGCUGGGUUCAGAACGUCGUGAGACAGUUCGGUCCAUAUCCGAUGUAGGCGUGAGAAUAUUGAGAGGAGCCUUCCUUAGUACGAGAGGACCGGGAAGGACGCACCGCUGGUGUACCUGUUAUGAUGCCAAUUGUAAACGCAGGGUAGCCAAGUGCGGAGAGGAUAACCGCUGAAAGCAUCUAAGUGGGAAGCCCACCUCAAGAUGAGUAUUCUGGUGUAAGGUCACGGGAAGACGACCCGUAAAUAGGCACGAGGUGGAAGUGCAGAGAUGUAUGAAGCCGAAGUGUACUAAUAGACCGUCGGCUUGACC